GACGAACGCUGGCGGCGUGCUUAACACAUGCAAGUCGAACGCUGAAGCUCAGCUUUUGUUGGGUGGAUGAGUGGCGAACGGGUGAGUAACACGUGAGUAACCUGCCUCCUUCUUUGGGAUAACGCCCGGAAACGGGCGCUAAUACUGGAUAUUCACUGGUCUUCGCAUGGGGGUUGGUGGAAAGGGUUUUUCUGGUGGGGGAUGGGGUCGCGGCCUAUCAGGUUGUUGGUGGGGUGAUGGCCUACCAAGGCUUUGACGGGUAGGCGGCCUGGGAGGGUGACUGGGCACAUUAGGGGUGAGAUACGGCCCGGGCUCCUGCGGGGAGCAGCAGGGGGGAAUAUUGCGCAAUAGGCGGAAGCCUGAUGCGGCGACGCAGCGAGAGGGAUGGAGGCCUUCGGGUUGUGAACCUCUUUGGAUAAUGGUCAAGCCGCAGAAAUGGUUGGAGUGAGGGUAGUGGGUAAAGAAGCGCCGGCUAACUACGUG
Molecule: ribosomal RNA, 483 nt
Filed under: uncultured bacterium
Lineage: Bacteria
Description: partial 16S ribosomal RNA
Rfam family: Bacterial small subunit ribosomal RNA
Source: RNAcentral